ACGUUCGUAACUCAAUGGUUAGAGUGCUACUAUGACAUAGUAGAAGUUAGUGGUUCAAAUCCACUCGAACGUACAA
This 76-nucleotide transfer RNA is filed under the name Buchnera aphidicola (Cinara laricifoliae). RNAcentral's name for it is "transfer RNA Valine". It matches the Rfam family "tRNA". Rfam says of the family: Transfer RNA (tRNA) molecules are approximately 80 nucleotides in length. Their secondary structure includes four short double-helical elements and three loops (D, anti-codon, and T loops). Further hydrogen bonds mediate the characteristic L-shaped molecular structure. tRNAs have two regions of fundamental functional importance: the anti-codon, which is responsible for specific mRNA codon recognition, and the 3' end, to which the tRNAs corresponding amino acid is attached (by aminoacyl-tRNA synthetases). tRNAs cope with the degeneracy of the genetic code in two manners: having more than one tRNA (with a specific anti-codon) for a particular amino acid; and 'wobble' base-pairing, i.e. permitting non-standard base-pairing at the 3rd anti-codon position. Lineage: Bacteria; Pseudomonadati; Pseudomonadota; Gammaproteobacteria; Enterobacterales; Erwiniaceae. The record is from RNAcentral.